This 1217-nucleotide long non-coding RNA is filed under the name Vombatus ursinus (common wombat). RNAcentral's name for it is "lncRNA (ENSVURG00010023668.1)". Lineage: Eukaryota; Metazoa; Chordata; Mammalia; Diprotodontia; Vombatidae. The record is from RNAcentral.
CGGAGACGCUGCUGGGCGGGAGCCUUGGUGUCUCAGGCGGCCAAUGGCUUUAUCUGGAGCGGAGGCUGGUCGCGGGUCUCGGCUGAGGCUGACGCGGAAAAAGCCGCCCGCGCCCCGCUCCUCCUCUUGCUCCGGGCCUGGCGGCGGGGGGCAGGAGGGCAGAACUUCAAACAACCGCUCUUGGUUGGACCAAGAAGGGUUAAAUGAGUCUGAUGAAUUGUGGAAGCUGCUGGUAUUGAGAAGUGUGAACUCCAGUCUGCAUCAGGCCAGCCAGGAAAUGCCAGAUUUACCAGCAUUCUUUGACCAGAGCGCCAGGCAUAAUGAGAACUCACAGCAACCAGCCCUCUUUAAAGUUGGGACAGAAGAGUUUCAGUGGACACCUUUCCCACCUGCCUUCGCAUUUGCUGGUCAGUUAAAAAACCCAGACUCUUCUCAUUUCACAAAGGAGAAACCUACUCAGAUACUCUAUGAACAAGAGCAGAGAGUGGAUCAGAGCGGCGGGCCUUCCUGCCAGGGGGCCUCUGCUCUGGGCCGUGAGAACCUGGAACCGAGGCCUGACGGUGGAGCCGGGGUGAAAAGGCCUUCGGAGUGGAGAGACAGUAGCAUCGGGGCUUCGAAGAGCGGGCUUCCACAACACGCACCACUCUCCCAGCUCAGGAAAAAACAGAGACUGUGGGUGGAGGGUGAUACCUCCUCCCCAGCAUCUCCCCAGACCCUCACCUUGGAGGUGAGCCAUCCAGGGCGCUCUCCUUUGAAGAAACCCAGUCGCAGCCUUUGCUCAGAAGGUGCCAGAGUAGAAAAAGAUGCCACCUCUGCUGCCGUGAGCCAGGGAAUAGUGGUACUUGAUGGCUGUCCGAUGUGCCAGGUCCCAUUUACUGGAAAGUUCUCCCAGCUGGAUAUUGAUAGUCAUCUUGCUAAAUGCUUGUCAGAGAGUAUUGAAGAUGUGAUAUGGUAAACUUAGUAGGAAGAACCCACAAAUAUGACCUCCCCUACAGCAGAGUAGGGGAUCACAAGAAAUGGCCCCAGGCACCCCUGGCCCUGUGUGUAAACAUCCCCUCCCCGACUCUGGAUGCUCUGAAGAGCCCUUCCCAAGGCACGCUUCCCCGAGUCAUCACUGGGAUGUCCUGGGAGGCAGUGUCCUGGCUGGGAUGACUUCUUGACUCUGCCUUUUAAAAGUAGACAAUAAAAAUUCCAUUUUGAAUAUUGAAUGGCUAUUU